Triticum aestivum (bread wheat) is the source of this 116-nucleotide non-coding RNA. Lineage: Eukaryota; Viridiplantae; Streptophyta; Magnoliopsida; Poales; Poaceae. The record is from Rfam.
AGCUGGCACCCUCCGUCCGAAAAUACUUGUCAUCAAAAUGGAUAAAAAGAGAUGUAUAGAUACAUCUCUUUUUAUCCAUUUUGAUGACAAGUAUUUCCAGACGAAGGGAGUACGUA